AUUGAACGCUGGCGGCAUGCCUAACACAUGCAAGUCGAGCGAGCGGCGGACGGGUGAGUAACGUCCGUGAAACUGCCUGAUGGAGGGGGAUAACUACUGGAAACGGUAGCUAAUACCGCAUACCAUCAGAUGUGCCCACAUGGGAUUAUCUAGUAGGUGGGGUAACGGCUCACCUAGGCGACGAUCCCUAGCUGGUCUGAGAGGAGGAUCAGCCACACUGGAACUGAGACACGGCCCAGACUCCUACGGGAGGCAGCAGUGGGGAAUAUUGCACAAUGGGCGCAAGCCUGAUGCAGCCAGGCCGAGUGUGUGAAGAAGGCCUUAGGGUUGUAAAGUACUUUCAGCCGGGAGGCGUUACCGGCAGAAGAAGCACCGGCUAACUCCGUGCCAGCAGCCGCGGUAAUAC
This 406-nucleotide ribosomal RNA is filed under the name uncultured bacterium. Its description in RNAcentral is "partial 16S ribosomal RNA". It matches the Rfam family "Bacterial small subunit ribosomal RNA", at positions 30 to 526 of the family's 1533-position model. The record is from RNAcentral.